This 519-nucleotide ribosomal RNA is filed under the name uncultured eukaryote. RNAcentral's name for it is "SSU rRNA". It matches the Rfam family "Eukaryotic small subunit ribosomal RNA", at positions 1161 to 1699 of the family's 1831-position model. The record is from RNAcentral.
AGGGCACCACCAGGAGUGGAGCCUGCGGCUUAAUUUGACUCAACACGGGGAAACUCACCCGGCCCGGACACUGGAAGGAUUGACAGAUUGAGAGCUCUUUCUUGAUUCAGUGGGUGGUGGUGCCUGGCCGUUCUUAGUUGGUGGAGCGAUUUGUCUGGUUAAUUCCGAUAACGAACGAGACUCUAGCCUACUAAAUAGAUCGCCGGUUUACAAACAUCGGUGAGACUUCUUAGAGGGACAGGCGGCGAUUCAGCCGCACGAAACAGAGCAAUAACAGGUCUGUGAUGCCCUUAGAUGUUCGGGGCCGCACGCGCGCUACACUGAAGUGAUCAGCGUGCUUUUUAAGCCUACUCUGCCAAGAGUGGGAAACCCAAUGAACCUUCUUCGUGAUUGGGAUAGGAGAUUGUAAUUAUUCUCCUUGAACGAGGAAUUCCCAGUAAGCGCGAGUCAUUAGCUCGCGUUGAUUACGUCCCUGCCCUUUGUACACACCGCCCGUCGCUACUACCGAUUGAAUGUUUU